RNAcentral lists this ribosomal RNA (300 nucleotides) under uncultured Bacillus sp. RNAcentral's name for it is "bacterial SSU rRNA". It matches the Rfam family "Bacterial small subunit ribosomal RNA", at positions 496 to 795 of the family's 1533-position model. The record is from RNAcentral. Lineage: Bacteria; Bacillati; Bacillota; Bacilli; Caryophanales; Bacillaceae.
UAUUACGCCGUAGGAGAUGACGCGGUCAUGACGUGGUUGCAAGCGUUAAUCGUAGUGACGGGUGGUAAGGCGCACGUAGGCAGUGUUGAUAGGCAGAUGUGAAAGCCGCGGGCUUAACCUGGGAACUGGAGCUGAUACGGGAAGACUAGAAUGUGGGAGAGGAGAGGGGAAUUUCCGGUGUAGCGGUGAAAUGCAUAGAGAUCGGAAGGAACACCAGUGGCGAAGGCGGCUCUCUGGACCAACAUUGACGCUGAGGUGCAAAAGCGUGGGUAGCAAACAGGAUUAGAUACCCGAGUAGUC